UUACAGGAUGUCAUAUUGAAUGAGCUACA
RNAcentral lists this non-coding RNA (29 nucleotides) under Rattus norvegicus (Norway rat). Lineage: Eukaryota; Metazoa; Chordata; Mammalia; Rodentia; Muridae. The record is from RNAcentral.